RNAcentral lists this ribosomal RNA (405 nucleotides) under uncultured Rickettsiaceae bacterium. Its description in RNAcentral is "bacterial SSU rRNA". It matches the Rfam family "Bacterial small subunit ribosomal RNA", at positions 354 to 776 of the family's 1533-position model. The record is from RNAcentral. Lineage: Bacteria; Pseudomonadati; Pseudomonadota; Alphaproteobacteria; Rickettsiales; Rickettsiaceae.
GUGGGGAAUAUUGGACAAUGGGCGAAAGCCUGAUCCAGCAAUGCCGCGUGAAUGAUGAAGGCCUUAGGGUUGUAAAGUUCUUUUAGCAGGGAAGAUAAUGACGGUACCUGCAGAAAAAGCCCCGGCUAACUCCGUGCCAGCAGCCGCGGUAAGACGGAGGGGGCUAGCGUUGUUCGGAAUUACUGGGCGUAAAGAGCGCGUAGGCGGUUUGAUAAGUUGGAAGUGAAAGCCCGGGGCUUAACCUCGGAAUUGCUUUCAAAACUGUCAAUCUAGAGUGUAGUAGGGGAUGAUGGAAUUCCUAGUGUAGAGGUGAAAUUCUUAGAUAUUAGGAGGAACACCGGUGGCGAAGGCGGUCAUCUGGGCUACAACUGACGCUGAUGCGCGAAAGCGUGGGGAGCAAACAGG